GAUGAACGCUGGCGGUAUGCCUAACACAUGCAAGUCGAACGGCAGCACGGGAGCAAUCCUGGUGGCGAGUGGCGAACGGGUGAGUAAUAUAUCGGAACGUGCCCAGUCGUGGGGGAUAACGUAGCGAAAGCUACGCUAAUACCGCAUACGAUCUAUGGAUGAAAGCGGGGAUCGCAAGACCUCGCGCGAUUGGAGCGGCCGAUAUCAGAUUAGGUAGUUGGUGGGUAAAGGCUCACCAAGCCAACGAUCUGUAGCUGGUCUGAGAGGACGACCAGCCACACUGGAACUGAGACACGGUCCAGACUCCUACGGGAGGCAGCAGUGGGGAAUUUUGGACAAUGGACGCAAGUCUGAUCCAGCCAUUCCGCGUGCAGGAUGAAGGCCCUCGGGUGUAAC
RNAcentral lists this ribosomal RNA (396 nucleotides) under uncultured bacterium. RNAcentral describes it as "bacterial SSU rRNA". It matches the Rfam family "Bacterial small subunit ribosomal RNA", at positions 28 to 429 of the family's 1533-position model. The record is from RNAcentral.